Long non-coding RNA from Oreochromis aureus, 3723 nucleotides. The record is from Ensembl. Lineage: Eukaryota; Metazoa; Chordata; Actinopteri; Cichliformes; Cichlidae.
AUAAAAGUUGCUUAAUUUCAACACAUAAAAUUAAAGUCGAAUGAAAACAAAAAAUUAACUUGCAUAAAUGUAAAACAGCGAUUAAUACAUUUUAUUACAUUUUAGCUCUUUAAUGGAAAUAAUGUGACCCCAGAAAAGCUGCAGCACAAAGAGUCACAAUUUCAUGGCUAUUUCUUAAAAUUUAUUGGAAAAUUAUGAAAACUCGUGUUUCCAGUAAGGAAACUAAAAUUAAAGAGGGAAUUUAAACCACAUACACUCAGAAGCUUUUCAAAAUAAAAUAUUUAGAUGCAGCAAGAUUGUAACGCCAGCUUCACAUAUGCAAUUUAAAUUAUUUUGGCACCUUUUUUCUUCCAUACCCUGUGAUAACGCGGUAUUGGGCUGAUAGCUAAUAUUCUUACUGAGCAGACGUGUCACAGGUAAUGAUUAAAGUCCGUGUUGGAGCCUGUGGGGUCCCAGUCGGAAAUGAAGGACUGUCUGGAUGUAAAAACAGCUCACCUGUAUUCACCUGGACUCCAGGAUGAAACAUAAAAUGGACCUGGAAACAAAAAAGGAGUUUUUAAAUGACCUGAUGGAAUAAAAUCAAAACAAAAAGGAAAAAAACAAAAACUAUCCCAGGAGAUGUUUUCACUGUGAACGUCUAAUGGAUUAUUAUCUGAGUGAAGGAUGUUUAGAUGGAUUCAUUGACAGAUGGACGAUGAGACUCCAAACAGAGAAUAACUGACGAAGAAAACGAAGGGAUCCAGGAUUGAACCCUGUGGGACGCCACAUGCUUGGGGAAGAACAAUGAGCCUCGUCCAGCCAACAGAGUCCGACAACUGCUGCCAUCACCGCUCUUCUCCUUCCUCUGAUGAACGUGAAAUAAAACAAAUUGUGGAUGAGACGCCCUCCCAUCACAGGAGGACGACCUGAUUUUUUUUUUUUUGCACAGAGCAAAGCAAAUGACUCUGAGGUACAAGGCAAAUGUUACUUGAAUCCUGCUUCAUAUAUUUGCAUCGUGUCUGCUGGCUGAUGGAGGCCUCCAUAUAAUCACGAGUAGAUGCUCUGUGGGGGAACGCUCCUCCUGCUGUAGAGAAAAAGACCAUGUACGUCCUGUCUGUGCGUUGCAUAUCAUAUUCAAACCAAAACAUAUUAUUGCAUGCUUGGAAAGUAGAGCAUGUGAAGAGAAGAGAACACGUCCGACUGAACCCAGCACUCUGACAAACGGGAACAACAACAUCAGCCGCUCAUUGAUAUUCUGAAAUGAUUCUGUUCCAAUGAUGAACUUAGUUGCUAAAUCUCUAUUUUUUAAAGUAUCAUACUGUAUAUGUUUUAUAUGGAGAGGAUUUGGUUCACUUGGUGAAUUAUUUUGUAGAUUUUUAACAUUUUUGCUAAUGUGUUUGGAUUUUCUUUUGUUCGUUUUUUGCCUUGGUACAAACAAAGCAGCUCUAGCUCCGGCGGGCAACUCCGGUGAAGACGUCUGCCCCCUUUGAGAGGAAUGUUUGUGCAGGAAACGAGGGUUCCAAAAAGAGACCGCUUAAUGCAUUUAUCACUGAAUGUUUCUGUGUGUGGGUUCCUGAUCAGAAUGCUGUAUAUCUGUUAUACCGAGAACAUCUACCUCAGUGUCUGCUCAUUACCAACAGAAGCUUUAACACCCGUGUCCCUGCAUUAGCUCUCAUUAGGCAUCUAAUUACUUGGUGCAACUAAACCCAAACACUCUCCAAACUGCCAUUUAAAAUCUUGGAGGGAAAAAAAGCAACACAUUAAAUAUUGUGAAAUAUUGAAUAUCUGUAUGAAGCCGAUCCUGACCUUGGAUUUAAAUAUCAGAAUUAUGCAGUCUGCGUAAAACAGCUUAGAGCCUUGUUUUUGCACAUUUUGUUAAUUUAUUUGUGAAGUUGGAUGUGCUCGUGAGCGUAUGUGACUGUUUCUGGAUUCAUUGUGUAUUUAAAGGGCAAUAAAUGAACUGCAGGGUGGAACCAGUCUGGAACCAGAAAGGAGUCCAGUCCAGCAGGUUUUAUGGGUACAGACCUGAGGCUGCAGGGUUUAAACUGGACUCUAGUUUUCCUCAGAAUCAGAUGCGAACAUCAGCGUCUCAGUUUCGGGUAAAAACAGCAGAGAAAUGAAUCUCAGUUUCCAUCUGAAGCUGUUUUUAGUGGCUGUUGAGCUCAUGUGCUUCAGGGCUGCUGAUGUCUUCUUUGCUUAAUCAAAGGAAUUCCAAAGAAGCCGCUCAGCUGAAGGAACGGGCCAUGUUCAGAUGUCGUCUCUGAGCCACUGAGUGAGCCAGACUGUGACUUUCUUAACUGCCUAUAUGCGAAUUUAUGCAUAUUGUUCCACGACGAUGAUCUAUUCUGCUCAUUUCCAGCUCUUUGUUUUUAUCAUAUGACUCCCCUGCAGCAGCUUUACAUGAUCCACAGUUCAGAAUAAUCCUUCUGUGUCUCACACUGGGCCCCACGGUUCAUCCUAUCUGGAACAAGCUGAUUUAGCCCAUCUCUUUAAGGCUUCCUCCCUAAUUGCUCACUUCUGAUUGGCCAAACUGAGGGGCAGCACAUGUGCUCUUUGAAGUUUUUUGGUGUUUUUUUUGCACAAAUCAUUAAAUUUAUUCAUGUUUAUGGUGGUCCAGAUGUCCAUGUUCUGUCUUGUAUCUGUGAAUAGGUUCUCUUUAAAUCAUUUUGAUUGGACGGUUUGCACCGCCAUCUCUUUCCGGUGUUACAGCUGCUUCAUCAUAUGAAGCAAAAGUCCUCCACUCAGUGCUCAUCACUGGAGAAGGAGCAGCUGUAAAAACUGAAGUUUUUGAAGUGUGUGUCUACUCUGUGGGGUUGUCAGGUACCAGCUCUGACUCCACAGGUGUGUCACAGCUGAUCAUUCAAAGCUCAGCUUUCUGACUUUGGCUCAUUUCUCUCUGUUUUUCUGGCUCUGCGGAAGAUGUGAGGUCACAGUGUUUCCUGACAUGCUGGACUUUUGCUGGUCAUGCGGCUGCGUCCACUCUGCAGUUUUGUCUCAUUGUAAUUCUGCUUUGCUUAACAUAAAAACAGCCGAGGGAGGUUUGUGUGUGACGGAGGCACUGAUGAGCAGUGACUGGGCAUUAGUUCUGAUGAUUAAUGUGUUCUGCAUACUCUAUGUGCAAUAAUAACAGGGCGAAUGCAGCCAUGACUGAAGAGCAGUCAGUCUGGUCCAGGCGCCACAUGUUUAACCAUCAUUGAGAUUCACCACAUCAUCCGUUGUGUUCAUGCUUCAUCUUCAGGUUUCAGUUCAGGCUCGUCACCGAAGCUUUUGUCAUGCAACAAGGAAAAAAAGCAAUAGUGAUUUCUGUGUUCUGGGAACUUCAGCGUGGAAGUGUUCUGAUUUCUGUUUCUCUGCUUUUGUUUCUUUCCACGCAUCGAUGCCAUUACUUUUUUUUGACAAACUUUAAUUGUGAUCUAUUUUUGAUAAAAAUAAAUCUUUAAUUCUGAUUGAUCUCCAUGCGUUUCCCAUGAAUGCACAUGCAGAUGUGUCACUUUCUGCUGAGUGUGAGUGUGUUUGUGUGCCAUCAACAUCAGCAGAGGCGCUGGGGUUGGAUUUAAGGUUUUUUUAGGUCAUUGUUUGAUUUGCCUUCCUCAUGCUGUGGCUCCUCAUGGUCUCCUGAAGCAGCUGAUGAUGGAAGCAUCAGUGAAAGGAAAUAAAAAUUCUAGAAGGAAACAUAUUUGUAAAAACUGAAAACCUGAUAGAGUCUCUUCUCAUUCUUAUCUUCUACAGAAGUUCAGAGAAAAC